UAUAAAGAGGGCUCAAUGUCAGCGGAGGUCGCACAGGUAGUCCCCGGGCAGGUGGGAAACUUUGGGCCGCGUUUCGCGCCGCCAAGCUGCCCGUUUAUUGGAUCGGAGCGUACUGAAAGUGACGGCAUCCGCGCCAGAACUCAACCGUUGGACACAGUGGUUCUUGCCUCGACGGUGGCGAUGGUGGUUCGUUAUGCCAUAAGCCCCACCACCACCACCACCUCCGUAUGGGUGGCAUGGGCGAAAGUCCGUCACCAAAGGCAGCGGCUGCCUAAUGCAGUUCCAUUCAAAAUCAAAACGUGUUCUGCAUCGGUCCACACUUUCGCCGGGCCAAAAACCCGAAACCAACACCCGGACUCUGGCCCAGACAUAAGCCCACUUUGGAUUAGCCGGAAAACACCCAUCUGUAUACCCCACACCACCCACUGCCCACCUGGGAGCCUGAUAAUUGUACGCUCUGCGGUUGCCUCAUUAGGAAACUAUACAAAAUGCUCACGGUGAUAAGAACCUUAAGAAAACAUGAAAACAUGUUUUAGCUUCUGUGAUAUUUUUCAUUUGCUUGUUGAAUUAGAGAAAUACGACGGAGUGGAAUGGUAUUUUGGCCUUCGGAAACAUCUAACCUUGGAACAGACUGGCUGAUAAGGGCUCGAUCACGAGAUCUGUGAACUCGCCGUGUUUUUGUCUGGUUCGCAUUGUAGAAAAUCUAGAGGGGGAGAAGGCUGCUUGCUGUGACAGCGGAGAUAGCGAAAAUACUGGCAAAAUCAA
Molecule: non-coding RNA, 765 nt
Organism: Drosophila suzukii
Lineage: Eukaryota; Metazoa; Arthropoda; Insecta; Diptera; Drosophilidae
Source: RefSeq, a predicted model, not a curated record